UCGAAGGAGAAGGUGCGAUAGCCGCGGAU
Molecule: small RNA, 29 nt
Filed under: Bombyx mori (domestic silkworm)
Lineage: Eukaryota; Metazoa; Arthropoda; Insecta; Lepidoptera; Bombycidae
Description: ovarian small RNA-28199
Source: RNAcentral